AACGAACGCUGGCGGCAGGCCUAACACAUGCAAGUCGAACGCCCCUUCGGGGGAGUGGCAGACGGGUGAGUAACGCGUGGGAACCUACCUAGUGGUACGGAAUAACUCAGGGAAACUUGAGCUAAUACCGUAUACGCCCUUCGGGGGAAAGAUUUAUCGCCAUUAGAUGGGCCCGCGUCUGAUUAGCUAGUUGGUGAGGUAAUGGCUCACCAAGGCGACGAUCAGUAGCUGGUCUUAGAGGAUGAUCAGCCACACUGGGACUGAGACACGGCCCAGACUCCUACGGGAGGCAGCAGUGGGGAAUAUUGGACAAUGGGGGCAACCCUGAUCCAGCCAUGCCGCGUGAGUGAUGAAGGCCCUAGGGUUGUAAAGCUCUUUUGGCAGGGACGAUAAUGACGGUACCUGCAGAAUAAGCCCCGGCUAACUUCG
Molecule: ribosomal RNA, 429 nt
Filed under: uncultured Hyphomicrobiales bacterium
Lineage: Bacteria; Pseudomonadati; Pseudomonadota; Alphaproteobacteria; Hyphomicrobiales
Description: bacterial SSU rRNA
Rfam family: Bacterial small subunit ribosomal RNA
Source: RNAcentral